GUCAUCGUCUUCGUUAUCUGCUAG
RNAcentral lists this small RNA (24 nucleotides) under Arabidopsis thaliana (thale cress). Its description in RNAcentral is "ATSL225860". Lineage: Eukaryota; Viridiplantae; Streptophyta; Magnoliopsida; Brassicales; Brassicaceae. The record is from RNAcentral.